Molecule: long non-coding RNA, 1053 nt
Organism: Tribolium castaneum (red flour beetle)
Lineage: Eukaryota; Metazoa; Arthropoda; Insecta; Coleoptera; Tenebrionidae
Exons: 2
Source: RefSeq, a predicted model, not a curated record
AAAUUAUUUGCGCACUGCGUAUACGGACGAUUCGCCGAUUUUGAAUUAGUCAUGUGGGGCAGGUAAACAGGGGCUGUUCGGGUCAUAAGAAAUAUUCAAAAAAUUGCGUACCGCGCUGUAUUUUUUGUGCAAAUAACAAACAAAGGUGAAUUUUAUUAGUUAUUCUACUGGUUAAUUAAUAAAUUAAUAAUGAUUUGAACAAAAAAGUGUUAGUGUAGGCAACCAAUUAAACACGCACUGCGCUAAAAAUUGGAAUUUUGGCGCUUGAAGAAUAAAAACAUGAAACCAGAUUUAAUUGAGUUUUUUAUUGAUUGAGUACCGUUUUGCAUCACGUUGAGUAAAUAUUUGACAUUUGGGAUUCGAACAUUGCCCAAGACCUGUUUGCAUCAAUUUUAAUAAAUUACGAUUUCGCAAUGCAAGUGAUGAGCGAAACAAUUAAAACCUGACCCUGGCUUACAUUGAACAAUUCCGACUUAGCGUUUGUCUCACGUUUAGCUCAAUUUGUUUAUACUCCAGACGUGAUUAAAUAAACCAACAUUCCAAAUCGGUUCGUUACAAUUACAUAAUUGUAGCAGAAAUGAACAAAUCCAUGGCGUAAAAGCGAAAGUAUUAAAUAAAACAGCGAAGGUCGUCCAGGUAUAGCCGACUUGCUCAGAUUGUACAAACUAGUCUUUGUGGGAGAAGUUAUUUUGUGUGGUUCUUGUUGUGAUGAUCACGUUCUUUGGAAUUAUUCAAACUGCGACCAACACUUAAUUAUGUUUAAAGUGCUCCCCAAAACAAACUCUGCAAAUAAUCCAAGGGGGCAUGCUGUCCAUAGCAAUGUAUGAUGACACCUUUCCAAAAUCCCUUUGGAAUUUUAUCGUGUACAUAGUAUUUAUCGUAUUAGGCCCUAUUCUCCUAUUUAUCGCAAUUUUUGUCCCAAAUAUACCCCUCUCAAUUGUACGCAGAAUAUGUUACAUACCGUUCGAGUCAGUCUGAUUUUAUAAAAUUAAGUAUAAGUUAUUUGUAUUUAUGUGUAAACCAUGUAAGCAAUAAAUGUGAUAUUAUUUGUAA